CCUACGGGGGGCAGCAGUAGGGAAUAUUGCUCAAUGGGGGAAACCCUGAAGCAGCAACGCCGCGUGGAGGAUGAAGGUCUUAGGAUUGUAAACUCCUUUUGUGAGAGAAGAUAAUGACGGUAUCUCACGAAUAAGCACCGGCUAACUACGUGCCAGCAGCCGCGGUAAUACGGAGGGUGCAAGCGUUAUUCGGAUUCACUGGGCGUAAAGGGUGCGCAGGCGGGCUUGCAAGUCAGAUGUGAAAGCCUGUGGCUUAACUACAGAACUGCAUUUGAAACUAUGAGGCUGGAGUGUGGGAGAGGUAGGUGGAAUUCUUGGUGUAGGGGUAAAAUCCGUAGAUAUCAAGAGGAAUACUCAUGGCGAAGGCGACCUACUGGAACAUAACUGACGCUGAUGCACGAAAGCGUGGGGAGCAAACAGGAUUAGAUACCCUAGUAGUC
This 440-nucleotide ribosomal RNA is filed under the name uncultured bacterium. Its description in RNAcentral is "partial 16S ribosomal RNA". It matches the Rfam family "Bacterial small subunit ribosomal RNA", at positions 338 to 795 of the family's 1533-position model. The record is from RNAcentral.